This 2301-nucleotide ribosomal RNA is filed under the name human gut metagenome. Its description in RNAcentral is "bacterial LSU rRNA". It matches the Rfam family "Bacterial large subunit ribosomal RNA", at positions 12 to 2308 of the family's 2925-position model. The record is from RNAcentral.
UAAGAGCAUACGGUGGAUGCCUUGGCGAUAUCUGCCGACGAAGGACGUGACAAGCUGCGAAAAGCUGCGGAGAGAUGCAAAUAAUCGGCGACCCGCAGACAUCCGAAUGGAGCAAUCCGGCUGUGAUGAUGCACAGCCAUCCAUGCCCAAGAGCAUGAGAAGGGAACCGGGCGAACUGAAACAUCUAAGUAACCCGAGGAAAAGAAAUCAAACGAGAUACCCCAAGUAGCGGCGAGCGAACAGGGAAGAAGCCCAAACCGGUGAAGGAAACUUUACCGGGGUUGAGGACCAUCAGACCCGCGAAGAACCUUAGCCGAAACUGUUGGGAAACAGUGCCGAAGACAGUGAAAGCCUGGUAGGCGAAAAAGAGAAACGCGGAGAUGGCACCAGAGUACCGCGGGACACGAGAAAUCCCGUGGGAAGCCGGGGGGACCACCCUCCAAGGCAAAACACAGAUAUCGACCGAUAGCGCAUAGUACCAUGAGGGAAAGGUGAAAAGCACCCCGGGAGGGGAAUGAAAGAGAACCUGAAACCGUAUGUUUACAAGCAGUCGGAGACCGCUUAAUAAUAAGGUCGACGGCGUGCCUAUUGAAGAAUGAACCGGCGAGUUACGAAGCCUGGCAAGGUUAAGCAGGAAAUGCGGAGCCGAAGCGAAAGCGAGUCUUAAGAGGGCGCAAGUCAGGAAGCGUAGACCCGAAACCACAGUGAUCUACCCAUGUCCAGGUUGAAACACAGGUAAAAAUGUGUGGAGGACCGAACCUAUAUCCGUUGAAAAGGGUUAGGAUGAGGUGUGGGUAGGGGUGAAAUUCCAAUCGAACGUGGAGAUAGCUGGUUCUCCCCGAAAUAGCUUUAGGGCUAGCCUCAGGGAAAAGAUUGCAGGCGGUAGAGCACUGAUCAGGAGAGGGACCUACCCGGUUACCAAACCCAGUCAAACUCCGAAUGGCUGCAAUCAUACCUGGGAGUCAGACUGCGACUAAUAAGGGCCGUAGUCAAAAGGGAAACAGCCCAGACCAUCAGCUAAGGUCCCCAAUGCCGUGCUAAGUGGCGAAGGAUGUGGCAUUUCAUAAACAACCAGGAUGUUGGCUCAGAAGCAGCCACCAUUUAAAGAGUGCGUAAUAGCUCACUGGUCGAGAGACGCUGCGCCGAAAAUGUCCGGGGCUCAAGCACGGAACCGAAGCUAUGGCAUGAUAGCAAUAUCAUGGGUAGGGGAGCGUUCUUAUAAGGAAGAAGCAUGACCGGAAGGACAUGUGGACAAAUAAGAAGUGAGAAUGCCGGUAUGAGUAUCGAAAAGAAAGGUGAGAAUCCUUUCCACCGAAAGCCCGAGGGUUCCUGAGCAACGAUCGUCGACUCAGGGUAAGUCGGGACCUAAGCCGAGGCGGAAAGCGUAGGCGAUGGACAACAGGUUGAAAUUCCUGUACCGGAUCAAGUCGAUCGAGCGAAGGAGCGACGCAGGAGGGCACAUGAUCGCGCGGCUGGAAGAGCGCGUCCAAGUGCGUAUGUUGCAGCAGAGGAAAACCCCUGCAGCUAAAAGCAGAGACAUGAUGGGGAGUUAAAGGAAACUUUGACGAACUCAUGAAUCCCACACUGCCAAGAAAAACUUCUAGCGAGACAAGAUCCGCCCGUACCGUAAACCGACACAGGUAGGCGGGGAGAGAAUCCUAAGGUGCGCGGGAAAACCCUCGUUAAGGAACUCGGCAAAUUGCAUCCGUAACCUAGGGAGAAGGAUGGCCCCCGGUCAGUGAAGAGCAGAAACGCUCAGAGCUAAAAGGGGCGGCAGAAAAGAGGCCCAAGCAACUGUUUACCAAAAACACAGGUGCCUGCGAAAGCGAAAGCUGAAGUAUAGGUGCUGACGCCUGCCCGGUGCCGGAAGGUUAAGGAGAGAAGUUAGCGAAAGCGAAGCAUCGAACUGAAGCCCCGGUGAACGGCGGCCGUAACUAUAACGGUCCUAAGGUAGCGAAAUUCCUUGUCGGGUAAGUUCCGACCCGCAUGAAAGGCGUAAUGAUUUGGGCACUGUCUCAACGAGGGGCCCGGUGAAAUUGAAAUACCUGUGAAGAUGCAGGUUACCCGCGACUGGACAGAAAGACCCCAUGGAGCUUCACUGCAGCUUGAGAUUGAAUCCCGGUGACAGAUGCACAGGAUAGGUGGGAGGCGCCGAAGCAUUGCCCUAGGGCGGUGCGGAGCCGAUGUUGGGAUACCACCCUUCUGUUGCUGAGAUUCUAACGCGAGGAGUAACGACCCUGCGGACCCUCUCAGGCAGGCGGUUUGACUGGGGCGGUCGCCUCCGAAAGAGUAACGGAGGCG